AUGAAGGUGGCUUCAGCCGGGCGUCGGCCGGGCUCCAGGUCGGGUGCAGAGGCGGAAGCUGUGCUCUUCCUGCUGGACAGAGCCAGAGCCCAAGCCCUUCCUCCAGCUCCUCACACGGCGCUGAACAUGCUAAGAAGCUGUUGCUGGUUUUAAAAACAGAGACACUUGUUGCAAUAGGCUGGCACCCUAAUGUCUGCUCACACAGGCAGCACAAUCCCACGCUGUACCUCAGCUUGUGCCUUGUCAGCUCUGAGCUGGGAGGGGAGAGGAGAAAGGAGGAAUCCUCCUGACCGCAGAGCCUCCAGUCAGGACUGGCUGGCUCUGCUCCGUAUGCUGAAAGCCCUGGGAAUUUUUCACUGCUCUCAGGAUGGCGUCUGGGGCGUGGGCAGGUUGGUCCCACUUUGAACGCUCUGCUGGACUUACGGAGCUGCUCUUAGUUCUGGGCAGUGAACGCCGAGCUGUCGUGUCCACACGGCCAGGGGAACGCCAGGGCCAAGGCCAGCACGCACUGAGCUUCUGCCCAGCCUGGAGUCGCCUUCACCAGGCCAUGAGCACGUGAGGCACUUUCUAAGCACUGGUUGCCCGGGAGGCGCAACUGCUCAGAGGCCGAGGCAGCUCAAAGGGCUCCGACGUGCAGUGGCUCGACGGGGUCAGCGUGCCCAGAGUAAUGGGUGUCACUAGAGCACCCGGCCCAGCACAUGCUUUCUGAGGACACCUGGUGGGCACGCCCCAUAGCAGGCCCCAAAGUUUCAGAGGUCCUGUGGAGUACUUGCUGCCUGGGGGAGGCCCUUCCUCAGGGAGUGUCCAGCAGAGGGAAGAGCAGACCACGCUCUGGAAGGUCCAAGCCGAUCAUGCACGAGUCAACAGCGCUCCCACUGUCGGGCCAGCCCCUCUUCCCCACCCAAGGCCACCACUCUGCUGAAAUGAAGGUUCUUGACUAGCAAGAAGGAAGGCAGAAGUUGGACACUGGAUCCUUCUGGGUUGUGGAUGUGGAUGAGCUGUGGGCCCCUUUCCCUCUCCCUGUCCUACUUCUGCUGUGCCAGCCCCACAGCUGCUCAGUCCCCUCCCUGGUGGUGGGUACUGUCCUGGGACAGCCAGUUGGUCCUCUCCUUCCCGUUGGCAAUUCUGGCUUUCCGGCAUUCCACACCACGGGGCCCAGCCCAUGGGGCUUGGCGGAGGGAGUGUUCCUGCUAGCUCUUCUCUUUAGGCGGAGGAGCCCCAGCGCCGCAGGAGACGGGAGGCAGUGCAGAGACUCGCCUGAGUGCUGAGGGUGGCGGGGCCUGUCUCUGUCCCCUCUCGGGGACCUGUCCCUCUCCUGGACCACGGAUAUUGAUCUGAGGCAAACAUCUAAUUCCCACUUCCCCAGAACAUCCCCCAACUGAAGAAGAAUCAGUGACACUUUAGGAAAGAAAAGGUGGUAUUUAGUGGCGGUCCCCACACUGCCCCUCCCAGGACUUUGUUUUCUAAGCCCACCUGAGAUCUCUCCUGAUCCCUUUGAGGUCUUAAUACAAGAGCCGGGCCUACGGGUGGGAGAGUCUGGAUUCUGUCCUGGCCUUGCCAAGCUUCCUGGCUUCACGACCUUGUUCAAAUCACUUAAACCUCUGUCUGGCGUUUACAACCAUCAAACCAUCUACCCUCCAGGUGCUCCACAAGGACUGACUCCACCCCAGGCACUGUGUCGGCACUGGAAACAUGAAACCCGAGCUGGGAGCCAGACACGGGGGGUCUUCCUGGGAGCCUGGGAAGCCGCCUGCCCUCGUGGAAUUGACGGUCUGAGGAGUGAUGCACAUGAAGCACUUUGAAAGAUGUGAAGCACUGUGUGUAAAACAUGUGCCAAUUUCUUGCUUCACAGAAGGAAUUUUCACUGCUUUCUCAGUUAAGUGUCAAGAACCUCCAAAAGAGAUGGUUCAAGAGAGCUAUUAUUAUUGAAUCAGAUUUGUUCUUUACACAUUUUAGCAUAGCUCACAAAACCAUAUGAAUGUUUCUGUUUUGAAUAUUCUCUUCCUAAAUGUUUUACAUCCUGUGGGGAGGGGCUUGGAUUCUGAUUCUGUCUUUAAAUCCUACAAGUAGGCCGGGUGCGUAGCUCACACCUAUAAUCCCAGCACUUUGGGAGGCUGAGGCGGGCAGAUCAUGAGGUCAGGAGUUUGAGACCAGCCUGACCAACAUAGUGAAACCCCGUCUCUAUUGAAAAUACAAAAAUUAGCCAGGUGUGGUGGCGGGUGCCUGUAGUUCCAGCUACUCGGGAGGCUGAGGCAGGAGAAUCGCUUGAACCAGAGAGUCGGAGAUUGCAGUGCCACUGCACUCCAGCCUGGGCAACAGAGCGAGACUCCCUCUCAAACAAAAUAAAACAAAAAACAACAAAAAACAUCCUACAAGUGUCAAGCAUGGUGGUGCACACCUGUAGUCCCAGCUACUCUGGAGGCUGAGGUGGGAGGAUCACUUGAGCCCAGUUGAAGACCAGCCUGGGCAACAUAGUGACACCCUGUCUCU
This 2490-nucleotide non-coding RNA is filed under the name Pongo abelii (Sumatran orangutan). Lineage: Eukaryota; Metazoa; Chordata; Mammalia; Primates; Hominidae. The record is from RNAcentral.